CCAAUAGCGUAUAUUAAAGUUGUUGCAGUUAAAAAGCUCGUAGUUGAAUUUUAGGCCUGGCCGGACGGUCCGUCUCUGGCGAGUACUGUUCUGUCGUCGGGUCUAUCCUUCUGGUGAGCCGGUAUGUUCUUAAUUGAGCGUGCCGGGGAGCCAGGACCAUUACCUUGAAAAAAUUAGAGUGUUUAAAGCAGGCUUUUGCUUGAAUAGGUUAGCAUGGAAUAAUAGAAUAGGACGUUGUGGUUCUAUUUUGUUGGUUCAAGGACCACCGUAAUGAUUAAUAGGGAUAGUUGGGGGCAUUAGUAUUCAAUUGUCAGAGGUGAAAUUCUUGGAUUUAUUGAAGACUAACUACUGCGAAAGCAUUUGCCAAGGAUGUUUUCAUUAAUCAAGAACGAAAGUUAGGGGAUCGAAGACGAUCAGAUACCGUCGUAGUCUUAACCAUAAACUAUGCCGACUAGGAAUCGGGCGACGUUAUUUUUACGACUCGCUCGGCGCCUUAUG
Molecule: ribosomal RNA, 498 nt
Filed under: uncultured Glomeromycotina
Lineage: Eukaryota; Fungi; Glomeromycota
Description: partial small subunit ribosomal RNA
Rfam family: Eukaryotic small subunit ribosomal RNA
Source: RNAcentral